AUCCAGCGGUUGUCAGCUAUCCAGGCUUGUGUGGUGCCUGUGAUGGUGUUACACUGUUGGAAGAGCAAGCACUGUCUUUAUUGAGGUUUGGCUCCAAGCACUGUUUUGGUGUUGUAGCUGAGAAAAUCUCAAUA
RNAcentral lists this small nucleolar RNA (134 nucleotides) under Macaca mulatta (Rhesus monkey). Its description in RNAcentral is "H/ACA box 74a snoRNA". It matches the Rfam family "Small nucleolar RNA SNORA74", at positions 1 to 131 of the family's 201-position model. Rfam says of the family: U19 belongs to the H/ACA class of snoRNAs. snoRNAs bind a number of proteins (including dyskerin, Gar1p and Nop10p in the case of the H/ACA class) to form snoRNP complexes. The record is from RNAcentral. Lineage: Eukaryota; Metazoa; Chordata; Mammalia; Primates; Cercopithecidae.